RNA transcript from Colossoma macropomum (tambaqui), 2837 nucleotides. It is a transcript of the gene named tripartite motif-containing protein 16-like, with no coding region annotated. The record is from RefSeq and is a predicted model, not a curated record. Lineage: Eukaryota; Metazoa; Chordata; Actinopteri; Characiformes; Serrasalmidae. The transcript is spliced from 7 exons.
UCCCUCCUACUCAGUUCAGACAAAACGAAACUGAUCUCAGAGAGCUGCUCUCUCUCCGUCUAGAAGGGCAGGAAAAUGGCCAGUAUUUCAGUAGAACAAGACCAGUUCAGCUGUCCAGUCUGUCUGGAUCUGCUGAAGGAUCCAGUGACCAUCCACUGUGGACACAGUUUCUGUAAGGUGUGUAUUAAUGGCUGCUGGGAUCAGGAGGAUCAGAGGGGGGUCUACAGCUGCCCCCAGUGCAGAGAGACUUUUGCUCCAAGGCCUGUUCUACGCAGAAACAACAUGCUGGCUGAAGUGGUGGAGAAACUGAAGAAGACAGAACUCCGAGCUGCUCCUCCUGCUCCCCGUUACGCUGGACCUGGAGAUGUGGAGUGUGAUUUCUGCACUGGGAGAAAACUCAAAGCCAUCAAGUCCUGUCUGACGUGUCUGGCCUCCUUUUGUGAAACUCAUCUUAAACCUCACUGUGAAGUUCCUGCAUUGAAAAAGCACAAGCUGGUCAAAGCCUCCUCACAGCUACAGGAGAAGAUCUGCUCUCAGCACGACAAACUGAUCGAGAUCUACUGUCGUACUGACCAAAGCUGCAUCUGCUAUUUGUGUACAAUGGAUAAACACAAAGGUCACGAUACAGUCCCAGCUGCAACUGAGAGAACCGAGAAACAGAAUCAGCUGAAGGAGAUUCAGAGUAAAUUCCAGCAGAGAAUCCAGGAGAAACAGAAGAAGCAGCAGGAGCUGAAACAGGCUGUGGAGACUCUUAAGCGCUGUGCUCAGUCAGCAGUGGAGGACAGUGAGAGGAUCUUUACUGAACUGAUCCGCUCCAUUGAGAAAAAGCGCUCUGAGGUAGCAGAGCUGAUCAGAGCUCAGGAGGAGGCUGAACUGAAUGGAGCUGAAGAACUCCUGGAGAAACUGGAGCAGGAGAUCGCUGAUCUAAAGAGGAGACACACUGAGCUGGAGCAGCUUUCACACACAGAGGAUCACAUCCAUUUCCUCCAGAGUUUCCAGUCUCUCUGUGUCUCUUCUGGAUCUGAGGACUCACCCAGCAUCACUGUCCAUCAACACCUCUCAUUUGAUGGAGUGAGGAGAUCUCUCUCUGAGCUGAAGGAGCGACUAGAGGAGUUCUGCAGAGAGGAGUUCAGUAAAAUCCCUCCACAUGCUGCAGCAGUUCAGAUUUUAUCCUCAGAACCAAAAACCAGAGAAGAUUUUCUGCAGUAUUUCUGUCAACUGACUCUGGAUCCCAACACAGCAAAUCAUUACCUCAUUCUGUCUGAGAAGAACAGAGUGGUGACAUUGAAUGAUAAAGUCCAGUCAUACUCUGACCAUCCAGAGAGAUUUAACUGCAGGUCUCAGGUGUUGUGUGAGGAGAGUGUGAGUGGACGCUGUUACUGGGAGGUUGAGUGGAGCAGUGAGAGAGGAUUUGUGUUUAUAUCAGUCUCAUAUAAAGGGAUCAGCAGGAAAGGUUGGGGUUAUGAUUGUUUGUUUGGACGCAACAGUCAGUCCUGGAGUCUGCAGUGUUCUUCCUCUCUCAUUUUCUGGCACAACAACAUUCAGACUGAGAUCUCAGGACCAUCAUCCUCCAGAAUAGGAGUGUAUGUGGAUCACAGUGCAGGAACUCUGUCCUUCUACAGCGUCUCUGGCACAAUGACCCUCCUACACACAGUCCACACCACAUUCACUCAGCCGCUCUACGCUGGGUUCUGGGUUGUUGGUGAUGGAUCAUCUGUGAGAUUAUGUGAUAAAUAAUGAUUUAUCUAUUAAAUAUGAUUGUUACUUUAUAGAUACACUCAAAAUAUUAUUUACACUGUUUGUUUAAUGAACUGUGUUAUUUUUUUAGACUGAUAGAAUCUUUAAUAAUCCUGGAGAAAGAGUCUCUUCAGUCCUGUUGGAAAAGCGUCUCAGGCGGCUCCUCAUGAAGCUGCUGGAGAGAAAGAUCCAGAGUGGGUUAAACUGCAUCAAGUAACAGCACUGACAGGUGACUGGGGCAGCUCUGGCAGGGCAGACAUUUGACAAACGGACCAGAUGAAAAGGCAUCGCUUUAAAGGUUACUUGGCUCUUCAGUACGACCCAUUCUACAAAGAAGGUAGGUCUUUGGAGACAGUAUAGAUCUGUGCUUGAUUGUAUACACCUGUUAGCAAUGGAUGUGACUUCAAUAGCCAAACCCACUAAUUAGAAGGGAUGUCCACAUACUUUUGGCCAUGUAGUACUUUUAUCUGGCACUCCUACCAAACUUUCAACAUUUUGAUAUUUUCCUACUAGGUCAUGCUGUAGGACGUUGCUUUUCAGGUGAUUUUUCUUUUUUCUUUUGCUCCUGUUUUAAUAUGUCUAAAUUCUGGACGUAUCACUGAAAAAUAUCAUUUGUAGAGUUGAUAGUUGUGACACUUCUCCAGUAGAUGGCAUGAGAUACCACAAUAAAAGUACUGUUGCAACAGUCAUUGUAACAUUUUACCUGGAUCUUUAAUUCUUUCUGUCUUUAUUGUUUUAUUAUUCUCUUUUUCAUUCCUUCUUUUUUCUCCUUUUUUUGGAAUAAAUGUUCAAGACUAUAAAUGUCUUGCCUUCCAAGUGUGUAUGCUUCAGAAAAGGCAAUUCUACUGAAGUUGUUCGCAAGGCAAUCACUGUAUUAUCUCUAUUAUUCUUCUUCACCAAACAGCUAUAACCAACUAACAGUAGUGAAACUAUGAAUGAAAAUUAAAAUCUACCAUAUGAAAAAAGUCACCUUCACCUUUAUUCCACAUUAAAAGUCAAACUUAAUGUGGAUCAGUUAUUUAACAUCAAGUUAACAUGUUUGCCAAAGUAAACAAAUUGUUUUGCUUUUAUGAUGGCAAACCGUGUUAAUUAUCCAAAGU